GGGCCGGUAGCGCAGAUCGAGGAGAGCGGAGUAUGGACAACUCACAGAGGUCGUGGGUUCAAAUCCCACCCGGCCCG
This 77-nucleotide transfer RNA is filed under the name Nitrososphaerota archaeon. RNAcentral describes it as "Thaumarchaeota archaeon tRNA-Val". It matches the Rfam family "tRNA". Rfam says of the family: Transfer RNA (tRNA) molecules are approximately 80 nucleotides in length. Their secondary structure includes four short double-helical elements and three loops (D, anti-codon, and T loops). Lineage: Archaea; Thermoproteati; Nitrososphaerota. The record is from RNAcentral.